RNAcentral lists this non-coding RNA (159 nucleotides) under uncultured Cytobacillus sp. RNAcentral's name for it is "glmS glucosamine-6-phosphate activated ribozyme". It matches the Rfam family "glmS glucosamine-6-phosphate activated ribozyme aptamer". From Rfam's summary of the family: This entry contains a glucosamine-6-phosphate activated ribozyme that is found in the mRNA for GlmS. GlmS is an enzyme that uses fructose-6-phosphate and glutamine to generate glucosamine-6-phosphate. Lineage: Bacteria; Bacillati; Bacillota; Bacilli; Caryophanales; Bacillaceae. The record is from RNAcentral.
AUAAUUAAAGCGCCCGGGCUAAUCUUUGAACGGAUAUGGAAGGUUAGUUGACGAGGAGGAGGUUUAUCGAAGCAUCGGCGGGUACCUCCCGGUUGAAAAGCACAACCGUAAUCAUGUCUUUAAAUCAUUAGGGUAACCUAAUGGACAAAGAGAGAUGAA